Molecule: ribosomal RNA, 507 nt
Filed under: uncultured Glomus
Lineage: Eukaryota; Fungi; Glomeromycota; Glomeromycetes; Glomerales; Glomeraceae
Description: SSU rRNA
Rfam family: Eukaryotic small subunit ribosomal RNA
Source: RNAcentral
AGCAGCCGCGGUAAUUCCAGCUCCAAUAGCGUAUAUUAAAGUUGUUGCAGUUAAAAAGCUCGUAGUUGAAUUUCGGGGUUAGCAGGUUGGUCGUGCCAAUGGUAUGCACUGGCCUUGCUGAUUCCUCCCUCUUGAUGAGCCGUAAUGCCAUUAAUUUGGUGUUGCGGGGAAUCAGGACUGUUACUUUGAAAAAAUUAGAGUGUUUAAAGCAGGCAAGCGCUUGAAUACAUUAGCAUGGAAUAAUGAAAUAGGACGUUUGAUCCUAUUUUGUUGGUUUCUAGGAUUGACGUAAUGAUUAAUAGGGAUAGUUGGGGGCAUUAGUAUUCAAUUGUCAGAGGUGAAAUUCUUGGAUUUAUUGAAGACUAACUACUGCGAAAGCAUUUGCCAAGGAUGCUUUCAUUAAUCAAGAACGAAAGUUAGGGGAUCGAAGACGAUCAGAUACCGUCGUAGUCUUAACCAUAAACUAUGCCGACUAGGGAUCGGAUGAUGUUAAUUUUUUAAUGACUC